Bufo gargarizans (Asiatic toad) is the source of this 962-nucleotide long non-coding RNA. RefSeq lists it as uncharacterized. The record is from RefSeq and is a predicted model, not a curated record. The transcript has 3 exons. NCBI's taxonomy places the organism in Eukaryota, Metazoa, Chordata, Amphibia, Anura, Bufonidae.
CUCCGAAUGAAAACAUUGAGGAAAGUCUACAUCACAGGAGACGUCACUGGAUGUAACAGGAGGAGGAAGAUGUCUCCCAGCUUUGCUGUAUCACCCCCUCUGUCUGCAAGAGAGAAGCAUCCGUGUGUCUGUAGUGACGUCUGCGACCCCUCUUUAGAUCCUGGUGUGCACAUGUCCAUUUUGUAGGAAGGAUGACAUCACAGCUACAGAGUUGACCGUCUUAUAGCGUAGCUCGACUGCCCACCUCUCCUGAAGACGCCCUCAGUCAAGUGGAGGACAUCAUCUCUGAAAGAGGGUCCCACAGAUGCAUCCUAGCAGUUUAAACACCACUCCUACAAGAGUCAAUGCCCUGGGUGAUUUCACUGGGGAAUUACUCCAGGGUGGUACUUGUGUUGGGAUGCACCUCUGGCUGACUAUCAUCAUUCUAUAAGAUAAUGAUGUAGGUGUGUGCUGUCAAUAACCCCAUAAAGAUUUGUGAAUGCUUAGAUUAAAUGGCUACUAUCAGACAACCAGGAAUGGAUGUCUAACAUCCCAUGAUCUAUGCAGCUUAUCUGGAUACUUCAUGCAGUACGGGAAGUCUAAGUGACCAUUUAUGGACAGGUAGGAAAGAUAGUUAGCUAACAAAUGAGAAAUGCAUAUAUGAGUGAUAAUGUAAUGAUCAAAAGAGAAAAAAAUGUGGCAGGAAAGAAUUAACUCUGAUUUCUUGUAUCAAUCAUUAUCAGAGUUUUGGUUCAUGUCUGGUUUCUUUCCACUUUCCUGCUUCUCCUCUAUUGAUAUAACAUUCAAUUAUUGCCUGGAAAUGAUUGAUAUGUUAUAUUCCUAGUUGAGGGCGUGGAUAUGUCCAUUUUGUAGGAAGGAUGACAUCACAGCUACAGAGUUGACCGUCUGAUAGCCCAGCUCGACUGCCCACCUCUCCUGAAGACCCCUCAGCUUUUUGAGAGUUGGGUGGAGGACAUCAUCUC